AAGUUCAGAUGUGAAAGACCCGGGGCGUCAACCUCGGAAUAGCAUUUGAAACUAGGCAGACUAGAGUACUGUAGAGGGGGGUAGGAAUUUCAGGUGUAGCGGUGAAAUGCGUAGAGAUCUGAAGGAAUACCGGUGGCGAAGGCGGCCCCCUCGGACAGAUACUGACACUCAGAUGCGAAAGCGUGGGGAGCAAACAGGAUUAGAUACCUCUGGUAG
This 216-nucleotide ribosomal RNA is filed under the name uncultured bacterium. RNAcentral's name for it is "partial 16S ribosomal RNA". It matches the Rfam family "Bacterial small subunit ribosomal RNA", at positions 585 to 793 of the family's 1533-position model. The record is from RNAcentral.